RNAcentral lists this ribosomal RNA (200 nucleotides) under uncultured bacterium. Its description in RNAcentral is "partial 16S ribosomal RNA". It matches the Rfam family "Bacterial small subunit ribosomal RNA", at positions 29 to 258 of the family's 1533-position model. The record is from RNAcentral.
AACGAACGCUGGCGGCAGGCUUAACACAUGCAAGUCGAACGCCCCGCAAGGGGAGUGGCAGACGGGUGAGUAACGCGUGGGAAUCUACCUAGUCCUACGGAACAACAGUUGGAAACGACUGCUAAUACCGUAUACGCCCCACGGGGGAAAGAUUUAUCGGAAUUAGAUGAGCCCGCGUAAGAUUAGCUAGUUGGUGGGGU